Mesocricetus auratus (golden hamster) is the source of this 243-nucleotide long non-coding RNA. RefSeq lists it as uncharacterized. The record is from RefSeq and is a predicted model, not a curated record. Lineage: Eukaryota; Metazoa; Chordata; Mammalia; Rodentia; Cricetidae. The transcript is spliced from 2 exons.
GCCUGUCAAAAGGCCUUAGGAAGGAAGCUGGGGCAGACAGCGGUGAAAUCCCCUCUGCUCAGGAGGCCUGCUGGAGACAAAAUGAAACACGAUCCUGUUGGAGCGGCCCCUGGCAAUCGCUCCGAGUGUAUUUACCACCAAAUUAAGUAUGUGCCGAGGGGAUAAUAUUUUUAUCCUGCCGAGGGGGAGAAGGAGCUUGUCUGUGGAUUUUCAUUAAAAUGACACAUCUGUUCAGCAAUUUCA